Molecule: ribosomal RNA, 612 nt
Filed under: uncultured marine eukaryote
Lineage: Eukaryota
Description: SSU rRNA
Rfam family: Eukaryotic small subunit ribosomal RNA
Source: RNAcentral
AACCUGGUUGAUCCUGCCAGUAGUCAUAUGCUUGUCUCAAAGAUUAAGCCAUGCAUGUCUAAGUAUAAGCGACUAUACUGUGAAACUGCGAAUGGCUCAUUAAAUCAGUUAUGGUUUAUUUGAUGGUACCUACUACUUGGAUACCCGUAGUAAUUCUAGAGCUAAUACACGCAGGAAGACCCGACUUCGGAAGGGUUGUAUUUAUUAGAUAAGAAACCAAUCCAGCUUGCUGGUUGUGUGCUGAGUCACAAUAACUGCUCGAAUCGCAUGGCUUAACGCCGGCGAUGGUUCAUUCAAAUUUCUGCCCUAUCAGCUUUCGAUGGUAGGAUCGAGGCCUACCAUGGUGUUUACGGGUAUCGGAGAAUUAGGGUUCGAUUUCGGAGAGGGAGCCUGAGAGAUGGCUACCACAUCCAGGGAAGGCAGCAGGCGCGUAAAUUGCCCGAAUCCUGACACAGGGAGGUAGUGACAAGAAAUAACAAUACAGGGCUAGUUUAGUCUUGUAAUUGGAAUGAGUACAAUUUACAUCUCUUCACGAGGAUCAAUGGGAGGGCAAGUCUGGUGCCAGCAGCCGCGGUAAUUCCAGCUCCAAUAGCGUAUAUUAAGUUGUUGCAG